AACGAACGCUGGCGGCAUGCCUAACACAUGCAAGUCGAACGAGAUCUUCGGGUCUAGUGGCGCACGGGUGCGUAACGCGUGGGAAUCUGCCCUUUGGUUCGGAAUAACAGUUGGAAACGACUGCUAAUACCGGAUGAUGACGAAAGUCCAAAGAUUUAUCGCCAGAGGAUGAGCCCGCGUAGGAUUAGCUAGUUGGUGUGGUAAAGGCGCACCAAGGCGACGAUCCUUAGCUGGUCUGAGAGGAUGAUCAGCCACACUGGGACUGAGACACGGCCCAGACUCCUACGGGAGGCAGCAGUGGGGAAUAUUGGACAAUGGGCGAAAGCCUGAUCCAGCAAUGCCGCGUGAGUGAUGAAGGCCUUAGGGUUGUAGAGCUCUUCUACCCGGGAUGAUAAUGACAGUACCGGGAGAACAAGCUCCGGCUAGCUCCGUGCCAGCAGCCGCGGUAA
RNAcentral lists this ribosomal RNA (449 nucleotides) under uncultured bacterium. RNAcentral describes it as "partial 16S ribosomal RNA". It matches the Rfam family "Bacterial small subunit ribosomal RNA", at positions 29 to 523 of the family's 1533-position model. The record is from RNAcentral.